This 281-nucleotide long non-coding RNA is filed under the name Mytilus galloprovincialis (Mediterranean mussel). Lineage: Eukaryota; Metazoa; Mollusca; Bivalvia; Mytilida; Mytilidae. The record is from RNAcentral.
UCUUUUAUUGUCCUGAUUUAAAGAAGUUUUUUUAAAUCAGAUAGGCAUGAAGAAUUAUUAACAUCCGAUACUUCAAUUUCUUUAAAAAAAAAUGCCUACCUACCUACCCACUGUCUUAACCUUGGGUAGGGUUUGGGCAAACCAAAAUAUUUUUAAUUGUGGCCUGGCUUCCAAUAAACAGAAUACCCUUAAAAUUAAAAAAAAAUAAUUUUUUUUUGCAUGUAUCCCAACACUUAUCUUUCCUUUCCUUUUCCAUUGCAAAUAAACAUGUUAAAAUAGAU